Cyprinus carpio (common carp) is the source of this 1299-nucleotide long non-coding RNA. RefSeq lists it as uncharacterized. Lineage: Eukaryota; Metazoa; Chordata; Actinopteri; Cypriniformes; Cyprinidae. The record is from RefSeq and is a predicted model, not a curated record. The transcript has 3 exons.
GGCUAAUUAAAAUAGUUGUGAAGCAUCAUGGCGCAGGACAUAGCCUAUCGGUCACUCUUUCCACUGAGAAUAAACGAAACCUAAAAUUAACACCUGAUUGUGGAUGAAUUUACCGACAGGUCCGAAGAGUGCAACUAAAAUGAACACCAGGCAUUUCCUGAAGCCAUUAAAGCAGAGGAGGUGUGAAGUAUAUUAAUGAAAGAGGAUGCAUCCCACCUCACAAGGUCUGCAAAGGCUUGCAUCUAAUGUGAUGGAUAAAGCAUUCAAAAAGCAUCCAUAAAGACUACAGUGGCACAGAGCCCUCUGGCCUGUACAACUGAUUGACCAGCAUGACAGCAAAACAGCAUCUACUAUUGAUAUCCUGGUAGGUAGCAAAUUUUGGGGCUGCUGUUUAGUUGAAUAAUGGUAUUCGGCAUCAGCUCCCAUUCCGCAAUAACGUUAUUUGCUAGGGAUGAUUUUAUGUGAUGACUCUAAAUCAAAUAAAACUAGCAGAAAUAAGUUUUUCUCUCAUCACAGUGACGGAUGCAUUCUCUUUAUCUUCACAAUACAUGAGUAAAAGAAUCAUACUAUCAUUUAUUUCAUUAGCUUAAUGAUGUGUGAGAGUUUUUGUCUAAAUCUAGUGACUGGCCUCACUGCCAUUGUCACCCAAACAACCUUACAGUUGGACCUCAUAUGAGAAACAAUAACAUAAUAUUGCUUUAAAAUAUUUAUGUUUUUAAGAAAACCUUAUUGACUAUAAUUGAAUGGCUGAAUAUGAAUCUUUAAUUACACUUCUUGUGAUAAAUGGCUUGAUGGCUCACUGUUUUUACUUGAUCACUGUUUUUAAUAUGCAAUUAAAGGAGCUGGUGAUAAUUGCUUAAGGUUUUCAGGAGUGCUUUUUUAGAUAUUAGAUUUUAGAAACAAUCUGUGUUGAAAAAAAAAAAAACUUUCAAAACGGGCACUUACUAAUCAAGAAUUGUGAAAUGACGCAACAGUUGAUAUUACUUUCAGUCUGCCAUAAAACUUUUUUUUUUUUUUUUUCUGUGGCAAUCUGUCCUUAGAACAGGGGAUUUUCACUCACACAGUAUUUCAAGUCUGAAAAGGUGAAAAGCACUGAUUUCUGAGAAGGCACACGAUGUACUUUUAUUAAAAGGAACUCUCUCCCUCUUUCGCUGGCAUUCUAUCAAAGAAAAGCCCUAGCUGAUUGCAUUGUACAAGCACCCAUAAUUCUACACACUAUAGCAGCAUUUUUUAGACAAGGUAGGGAGGAAAAAUGUCUUCUUCCUGCUCCUCUUCUUCAGUGGCUGAAAGUCUACAACA